Eriocheir sinensis (Chinese mitten crab) is the source of this 767-nucleotide long non-coding RNA. RefSeq lists it as uncharacterized. Lineage: Eukaryota; Metazoa; Arthropoda; Malacostraca; Decapoda; Varunidae. The record is from RefSeq and is a predicted model, not a curated record. The transcript has 3 exons.
GUAAUGGAGGAGGAAGAUGCUGUGAGAGCUGGUCCAGUCACCAAAAUAUACUUGCAUGAUAAGUAUGGAUGCAUUAAUUAUAUGCCGAGUGAUUACCCAGAGGGGGAAUCAGAAACAACACAAGAAGAUAAGCAAAGCUUAUUAAAACAGAAAUACAAAGAAAAACUUCAUGAUGAAGUGGAAUAUCUGAUGAAGGAUAUCUACUUUUCUCAAAGGCAAGACAUCAUACAAAGGAAAAUGGAUGUUCUUCAUUUAAAAAUAGAAUGGCCUUAUUUAUUUGAGGCAGCAGGAAUGUUCGUUCAUUUUAUGGAACUCACUGGCAUUAACAUAAGUGAAAAAGUAGAGUCUGCCAUUGCUAGUAAGGGAGCACGAAUUCUAAAAUGGAUAGAAGAAGAACCAAACAUGAAUAUAAGGAGAAUUCAACAGGAACUUGUGGAGGCUAAAUGCUCUGUUGAUAAUGGCAAUGCAGAGGUAGCAGCUAUGAUCUGUGCUGCUAUGUCUUACCUAAAUGAAAAAGAAGACUCUCUGUAUGUAUGUGUAAAGCCAACUGCAGCUAGACCUGAAUUGGAAAAGGACCUUCCCAAGACACCAUGUUUAAUAGGCUUUGGGGCAUCAAGGUUGACGGCAACCAGAUAUAUGUUGUCAAUUGAUGGUGUUGUUGUCACUGACCAUAUCGCAACAUUUACUACUGGGCUGGCUAUGCUGCUGGCCUCCUACUACAACUUCAAUAUAAUGUACCCUGUUGAUUCUGCAUCGACACUGGAGUU